GAGACAGCAGCCGCCACGGUAAUACGAGGGGGGCAAGCGUUGUUCGGAUUUAUUGGGCGUAAAGGGUGCGUAGGCGGUUUGGCAAGUCUUGUGUGAAAUCUUCGGGCUCAACCCGAAGCCUGCACGAGAAACUACCGGGCUUGAGUAUUGGAGAGGUGAGUGGAAUUUCCGGUGUAGCGGUGAAAUGCGUAGAUAUCGGAAGGAACACCUGUGGCGAAAGCGGCUCACUGGACAAUAACUGACGCUGAUGCACGAAAGCUAGGGGAGCAAACAGGAUUAGAUACCCCCGUAGUCCCUGUCUCUUAUAC
This 308-nucleotide ribosomal RNA is filed under the name uncultured bacterium. RNAcentral describes it as "partial 16S ribosomal RNA". It matches the Rfam family "Bacterial small subunit ribosomal RNA", at positions 505 to 807 of the family's 1533-position model. The record is from RNAcentral.